Molecule: non-coding RNA, 946 nt
Filed under: Trichosurus caninus (mountain brushtail possum)
Lineage: Eukaryota; Metazoa; Chordata; Mammalia; Diprotodontia; Phalangeridae
Description: partial 12S ribosomal RNA
Rfam family: Bacterial small subunit ribosomal RNA
Source: RNAcentral
UAAAGGUUUGGACCUAGCCUUACUGUUAAUUAUAAUUAAACCUACACAUGCAAGUUUCCGCUGCCCAGUGAGAAUGCCCUCAAAAUUAUUCAAAAUCAUAGGAGCAGGCAUCAGGCACACCAUAGGUAGCCCAUCACGCCUUGCUUAGCCACACCCCCACGGGAUACAGCAGUGACUAACAUUAAGCCAUAAACGAAAGUUUGACUAAAUCAUAAUUAUUAGGGUUGGUAAAUUUCGUGCCAGCCACCGCGGCCAUACGAUUAACCCAAAUUAACAGAAAACCGGCGUAAAGUGUGUUUAAGCAUUAACAACCAAUAAAGCUAAGAUUCAACUAAACUGUAAUACGCUAUAGUUGACAUCAAAAUACACAACGAAAGUGGCUUUACCUAUGCUGAAGACACUAUAGCUAAGAAACAAACUGGGAUUAGAGACCCCACUAUGCUUAGCCCUAAACCAAGAUAAUUCACUAACAAUAUUAUUCGCCAGAGAACUACUAGCCAUCGCUUAAAACUCAAAGGACUUGGCGGUGCCCUAAGCCCACCUAGAGGAGCCUGUUCUAUAAUCGAUAAACCCCGAUACACCUCACCUAUUCUUGCCAAUACAGCCUAUAUACCGCCAUCGUCAGCCCACCCCAAUAGGGUAAUAAAGUGAGCAAAACCAUUUACCAUAAAAACGUUAGGUCAAGGUGUAGCAUAUGAAAAGGGAAGCAAUGGGCUACAUUUUCUAUACUAGAACAUCACGAACUAUCUUAUGAAACCUAAGAUACUGAAGGAGGAUUUAGUAGUAAAUUAAGAAUAGAGAGCUUAAUUGAAACAGGCAAUAGGACGCGCACACACCGCCCGUCACCCUCCUCAAUUAAACCUAAAAUAUAAAUAAUAAAACUCAAACAAAAAGAGGAGAAAAGUCGUAACAUGGUAAGUGUACUGGAAGGUGCACUUGGAAUAUC